AGAGAGAGAAGAUGUGGUCACUUCUUCCUUCCUAAUAAAGCUGAACAAUGCGUUUUAGCUGAAAGGGGACAGCUGCAUUUCAGAACAAACAGAAUCAUUAUUGGCAGUACUUUUGUGAUGGGUUUUUUGUUGUUGGUUGGCUGGUGUUGUUAUGAUUUG
Oxyura jamaicensis (ruddy duck) is the source of this 159-nucleotide long non-coding RNA. RefSeq lists it as uncharacterized. The record is from RefSeq and is a predicted model, not a curated record. The transcript is spliced from 3 exons. NCBI's taxonomy places the organism in Eukaryota, Metazoa, Chordata, Aves, Anseriformes, Anatidae.